RNAcentral lists this ribosomal RNA (735 nucleotides) under uncultured Corynebacterium sp. Its description in RNAcentral is "bacterial SSU rRNA". It matches the Rfam family "Bacterial small subunit ribosomal RNA", at positions 28 to 776 of the family's 1533-position model. The record is from RNAcentral. Lineage: Bacteria; Bacillati; Actinomycetota; Actinomycetes; Mycobacteriales; Corynebacteriaceae.
GACGAACGCUGGCGGCGUGCUUAACACAUGCAAGUCGAACGGAAAGGCCCUGCUUGCAGGGUACUCGAGUGGCGAACGGGUGAGUAACACGUGGGAGAUCUGCCCUGCACUUCGGGAUAAGCCUGGGAAACUGGGUCUAAUACCGGAUAGGAGCCAUUUUUAGUGUGAUGGUUGGAAAGUUUUUUCGGUGUAGGAUGAGCUCGCGGCCUAUCAGCUUGUUGGUGGGGUAAUGGCCUACCAAGGCGGCGACGGGUAGCCGGCCUGAGAGGGUGGACGGCCACAUUGGGACUGAGAUACGGCCCAGACUCCUACGGGAGGCAGCAGUGGGGAAUAUUGCACAAUGGGCGCAAGCCUGAUGCAGCGACGCCGCGUGGGGGAUGACGGCCUUCGGGUUGUAAACUCCUUUCGCUAGGGACGAAGCUUUUUGUGACGGUACCUAGAUAAGAAGCACCGGCUAACUACGUGCCAGCAGCCGCGGUAAUACGUAGGGUGCGAGCGUUGUCCGGAAUUACUGGGCGUAAAGGGCUCGUAGGUGGUUUGUCGCGUCGUCUGUGAAAUUCCGGGGCUUAACUCCGGGCGUGCAGGCGAUACGGGCAUAACUUGAGUACUGUAGGGGUAACUGGAAUUCCUGGUGUAGCGGUGAAAUGCGCAGAUAUCAGGAGGAACACCGAUGGCGAAGGCAGGUUACUGGGCAGUUACUGACGCUGAGGAGCGAAAGCAUGGGUAGCGAACAGG